GCAUCUUCUCCCCUGAGGGCAAGUUCAAGACCAAGAUUGGAGCUGGCCGCCUCAUGGGCCCCAAGGGAGUGGCCGUAGACCGGAAUGGACAUAUCAUUGUGGUCGACAACAAGUCUUGCUGCGUCUUUACCUUCCAGCCCAAUGGCAAACUGGUUGGCCGUUUUGGGGGCCGUGGGGCCACUGACCGCCACUUUGCAGGGCCCCAUUUUGUGGCUGUGAACAACAAGAAUGAGAUUGUAGUAACGGACUUCCAUAACCAUUCAGUGAAGGUCAGUGUCCUCCCUCCCUCCGUGACCACUGUCCCAACAUCCUUAACUCUUCCACAAGACUCCUCUCUAUUUUACCUCCUCCUUCUCCCCCUUGAGAUCAUUCGCUCAAAUGAUACACAUUUACACAUUUAUGGCAUGGCUGCUUUGUCCCAGGCAGUAUGCUAGAAGCUGGAGAUACAGUGAUGCACAAAGCAAAUGUAUUCUAUGUCUUCUUGAUUAUUGUCUAGUAGGGAAGAGAAAAAGGUAACCAAAAAAUUACAAUAUGAUGUACUAGCUGUGAUAGGAAGGUGCAGGGAACUGUGGGAAGGGCUACAGAAGUGUAUGAUUCAGGAAAGACUAUGUGAGGAGGACCUCAAGCACAAGUGGGAAUUAAAUGGAAG
This 649-nucleotide small RNA is filed under the name Pongo abelii (Sumatran orangutan). RNAcentral's name for it is "processed transcript". Lineage: Eukaryota; Metazoa; Chordata; Mammalia; Primates; Hominidae. The record is from RNAcentral.